Gossypium arboreum is the source of this 2696-nucleotide RNA transcript. It is a transcript of the gene named transcription factor PIF1-like, with no coding region annotated. The record is from RefSeq and is a predicted model, not a curated record. NCBI's taxonomy places the organism in Eukaryota, Viridiplantae, Streptophyta, Magnoliopsida, Malvales, Malvaceae. The transcript is spliced from 10 exons.
UAGAAUGUAAAAAAAAAAAAAAAAAUCCAUUGUCUUUUGCUUCAUAUUAUUCGGAGAGAGAAAGCCUUAUCUUUGAGUGGCUGCAAAAGACAUUUAACCCAAAAGGAGAACAAGUACAAAUUCUUCCCGAAAAGAAAAAAAAAAGGAAAGAAAUUUUUUUUCUCCUUUCUUAACACUGAGAAGAGAGGUAGUAGUAGAAGAGAGCUUUUGUUCCUUCACAUGGAUUUUGAUUUUCAAUUAUAUUCUCCUUUGUCGUUAGGGGUUUAUGGUAGUCAAUUUCAUCAUCUGCAGGAAAGACAGGUCCCGCUCAAACAUCAACAAAAAUAACACUCCUUUUAUGUAUUUCUUUUGGAUUUUUCAAAGAAGUAGAAACAGUUCUUUGAUCUUAACAGCUUGAAUCAUUCAAUUAGGCGAUAGUAGAGGAUGAAUCACUGCGUUCCCGAUUUCGAAAUGGAAGACGAUUAUUCAAUCCCUUCAUCUUCUAUAUUAAAUCGCGCUAAAAAACCUUCCAUGCCAGAGGAUGGAAUCAUGGAGCUGUUGUGGCAAAAUGGUCAAGUUGUUAUGCAGAGUCAAAACCAACGAUCUUUCAAGAAACCAUCGCCGUUCAAAUACCUCGACGCCGGCCAAUCAGCUCUCAGAGAGAUCCGAUCAUCAUCUCACCAUCAGCAGCAACAACAACAACAGCAACAGCAAUCCGUUACCGAUCAUCUGUUCAUGCAAGAAGAUGAAAUGGCUUCGUGGCUUCACAAUCCUCUCAGCGACGCCAACUUCGACCACGAUUUCUGUGCUGAUCUCCUCUAUCCUUCCUCCUCCACUGCUGUUGCCCCUUGCGUUACCUCCACUGCCACAACUUCCGCUCCUCCUCCGCCUCCACUCGGAAGAGUUCCUCAAGUUUCGGCUUCGGCUAUGGUGCCUGCUUCUAGGCCCCCGAUACCGCCGGCGAGGAGGAAUGAGUUGGAGUCUACUAGGAUCCAGAACUUCAGUAGCUUGUCCAAGGAGCAACCUGGACCGUCGAAUUCAAAGAGUGUAGCGAGGGAAGUGACGGUCGUUGAUUCCAGCGAUACUCCGGCGGUUGCUCCCGAAUCGGGAGCCUCUCAAGCCAUGCCGUGCAACACCGAGGCAGCAUCUGGCGAGGACAACAACAAUGCCUGCGCCAACAUGAGCUUUGCCGCAGUUGCCUACACGCAAUCAGCUGGUGUCAGCGUGGGUGCCAGCAAAGACAAUAUAGCCACGUGCGAAGCCACGGUUACAUCAUCACCUAGCGGCUCCAGUGCCAGUGCCAGCGCCGAACCGACGGCUCAAAAAAGGGGCCCAGCUGAGGACCGGAAGCGUAAAGGAAGAGAACCGGACGACGCCGAGUGUCACAGCGAGGAUGCUGAGUUCGAAUCCCCUGAAACAAAGAAACAAUCUCGUGGAUCCUCAUCUACGAAAAGGUCCCGUGCUGCAGAGGUUCAUAACCUCUCGGAGAGGAGACGCAGAGAUAGGAUAAAUGAAAAGAUGAGGGCUUUGCAAGAACUUAUUCCUCGUUGUAACAAGUCAGACAAAGCUUCAAUGUUGGAUGAAGCAAUCGAGUACCUAAAGUCACUUCAGUUACAAGUUCAGAUGAUGUCCAUGGGUUGUGGCAUGCUCCCAAUGAUGUUUCCUCAGCAUUACAUGCCAACAAUGGGGAUGGGAAUUGGGAUGGGCAUGGUCAUGGAUAUGGGAUUAAGUCGGCCAAUGAUGCCAUUUCACAAUGUUAUGGCUGGAUCAGGUUUACCAACACCAGCUGCUUCAGCUCAUUUGGAUCCAAGGUUUCCCAUGCCAGCAUUUCAUAUGUCACCACAAGUUCCAGUUCCUGAUCCAUCAAGAAUCCAACCGAACAAUCAGUCAGAUGCUAUGUUGAACCCACUUGGCAUGCAAAACCCAAACCAGCCACGGAUCCCAAGUUUUGCUGAUCCUUAUCAGCAGUAUAUGGGUCUUCACCAGAUGCAAUUACACCCUCCACAGUGUCAAGCAACGGCCCAGCCGAGUUCCAGUAAACCAAGUAACAGUAAGGGAGCUGAGAAUCUUGAAAAUCACCCAUCAGGUGAUAUGGCACGAUAGCACUAAAAUAUUGGCUGGCUAUCCGAGUUCUGGACAAGUGUUGCUCGUGUAUUCCUUUUAAUCUGCAACACACAACAUUAAAGAUCUGUGCAUUGCAGGUUGACAAUUCAAGCGAGGAUCAUUCCCGAAAGGUAUUGUUCUUUUUAGACGGAUGCCACUAAGCGACAUAAGGUUUUAUCCAUUGCUAUGUAGAAAGCAAAAGGGCAUCUCUUGGUUACACCAGAUUUAUGUUAUGUUUAGGUUUGCAACAUGAGGGUUGUCAUGGUCUGAAAAACCUUAUAAAAGUGCAAAGAAAGAACGGAGGGAGGAGUCAUUGUUCCUUUUGCAUUGCCCUAAUUCAGAGAACCUUGGAAAGGUGUGGUUAGAUAUGAUGAGGAAUGGUCUCUUUUCAAUUUUUUAAACUGCACAUGUUAUUGAGCGCUUUGCAGCAGUGUUGUCCAAUUAAAAAGAAAGGUAAACCAUACCUAAAGUCAUUAAAUUAGUAGUAUAUAUUUUGGUCUCUAAACUUUAAAAUGUUACAAAAUGGCCAUUAAACUAUUCAAAAGUUUUAAUUUAAGUCAUUGGUUGUACCAUCUACAUCAAUUGAAAACUUUCCUUUUCAUUCUCUUCUACAA